ACGAGUGCGGACGGGUGAGUAAUGUCUGGGAAACUGCCUGAUGAGGGGAUACUACUGGAAACGGUAGCUAAUACCGCAUAACGUCGGCCAAGGACCCAAAGAGGGGGAACCCUCGGGGCCUCUUGCCAUCGGAUGUGCCCAGAUGGGAUUAGCUUGUUGGUGGGGUAACGGCUCACCAAGGCGACGAUCCCUAGCUGGUCUGAGAGGGAUGACCAGCCACACUGGAACUGAGACACGGUCCAGACUCCUACGGGAGGCAGCAGUGGGGAAUAUUGCACAAUGGGCGCAAGCCUGAUGCAGCCAUGCCGCGUGUAUGAAGAAGGCCUUCGGGUUGUAAAGUACUUUCAGCGGGGAGGAAGGGAGUGAAGUUAAUACCUUUGCUCAUUGACGUUACCCGCAGAAGAAGCACCGGCUAACUCCGUG
Molecule: ribosomal RNA, 423 nt
Filed under: uncultured bacterium
Lineage: Bacteria
Description: bacterial SSU rRNA
Rfam family: Bacterial small subunit ribosomal RNA
Source: RNAcentral